GGGGCGUUUCUGGGCGGAGCUUGCGCUGAUUCAGCCGAGCUGCAAGACGGACCAGUUCAACUUCUCAACUAAAAAUGACAAUGUGCUACGAACGCGAAGAUCUGCAGACCGGAUGGAGGCAUCCUGGACUUUAACGAGUCCGUUAGCAAAGUGUCCACUGAUUCUGCUGCGUUGGAGGUCAAGUUAAAG
Non-coding RNA from Poecilia reticulata (guppy), 189 nucleotides. NCBI's taxonomy places the organism in Eukaryota, Metazoa, Chordata, Actinopteri, Cyprinodontiformes, Poeciliidae. The record is from RefSeq and is a predicted model, not a curated record.